RNAcentral lists this ribosomal RNA (453 nucleotides) under Carrhotus sp. Sal_282. RNAcentral's name for it is "partial large subunit ribosomal RNA". It matches the Rfam family "Eukaryotic large subunit ribosomal RNA", at positions 605 to 893 of the family's 3401-position model. Lineage: Eukaryota; Metazoa; Arthropoda; Arachnida; Araneae; Salticidae. The record is from RNAcentral.
CCCUCACGGGACUCCUCGUCUCCCACCCAGAGUCGCGGGACUGAGAGCCGCAAGGGUCUUUCGUUCUCGCCGUCGCACUCUUACGGAGUGGGCGGAGAGGCGCGAGGCCCCGUUGGUGGUUCCGGACCCGCGGGGGACCGGAGGCUGGCAGCGAGUAGGUCGGUCACCCACCCGACCCGUCUUGAAACACGGACCAAGGAGUCUAACAUGUGCGCGAGUCAAUGGGUCUUGACUAGGCCCAGGGGCGCAAUGAAAGCGAAGGAUUGCCUUGCGCACUCUGAGUGGGGAUCCCUCCUUCCCCGUGGGGGGGGCGCACCCACGACCCGUCCUAUCCGGCUCGCCGGUUGGGCGGAGUCUGAGCGUACACGUUGGGACCCGAAAGAUGGUGAACUAUGCCCGGACAGGACGAGGCCAGAGGAAACUCUGGUGGAGGUCCGCAGCGGUUCUGACGUG